UAUGGCUAUAUCAUGUUGAAACACUGGUUCUCACAUGAUCACCAAAGUUAAGCAACAUUGAGCCUGGUCAGAACCAAAAUAGGUGACUGCUUGGGAAUACCAAGUGCUGUAAG
Non-coding RNA from Acanthosepion pharaonis, 113 nucleotides. The record is from the annotation of a GenBank genome assembly. Lineage: Eukaryota; Metazoa; Mollusca; Cephalopoda; Sepiida; Sepiidae.